Molecule: ribosomal RNA, 262 nt
Filed under: uncultured bacterium
Lineage: Bacteria
Description: partial 16S ribosomal RNA
Rfam family: Bacterial small subunit ribosomal RNA
Source: RNAcentral
GUCCACGCCGUAACUAUGGAGGCUAGCCGUUGGACAGCUUGCUGUUCAGUGGCGCAGCUAACGCAUUAAGCCUCCCGCCUGGGAGUACGGUCGCAAGAUUAAACUCAAAGGAAUUGACGGGGCCCGCACAAGCGGUGGAGCAUGUGGUUCAAUUCGAAGCAACGCGAAGAACCUUACCAGCCCUUGACAUGCCCCGUAUGGGAUCCAGAGAAGGAUCUCUUCAGUUCGGCUGGCGGGGACACAGGUGCUGCAUGGCUGUCGU